This 247-nucleotide ribosomal RNA is filed under the name uncultured bacterium. Its description in RNAcentral is "partial 16S ribosomal RNA". It matches the Rfam family "Bacterial small subunit ribosomal RNA", at positions 530 to 776 of the family's 1533-position model. The record is from RNAcentral.
GGGUGCAAGCGUUAAUCGGAAUUACUGGGCGUAAAGCGCGCGCAGGCGGUUGUGCAAGUCAGGUGUGAAAUCCCCGGGCUUAACCUGGGAACUGCACUUGUGACUGCACAGCUGGAGUACGGCAGAGGGGGAUGGAAUUCCGCGUGUAGCAGUGAAAUGCGUAGAUAUGCGGAGGAACACCAAUGGCGAAGGCAGUCCCCUGGGCCUGUACUGACGCUCAUGCACGAAAGCGUGGGGAGCAAACAGG